Molecule: non-coding RNA, 30 nt
Filed under: Homo sapiens (human)
Lineage: Eukaryota; Metazoa; Chordata; Mammalia; Primates; Hominidae
Source: RNAcentral
UCACUUCCGAGACGGGGUGUCCUUCGCCAA